AUGGUUGAUGCAGAUAAGGAAAAAUAAGUUAAUAUACCAAGACAAGCCUAGACUCAAAACAGCCCUGGAAAUGCUCAGAACUAGCAUAAGCCUUGAACGUCGUUAAAAUGAGGUGACACUCCCCUUCUUUGUGUUGCACGGGGAAGCAGAUAUAGUAACAGAUCCUGAAGUAAGCAAGGCCUUUAAUGAGAAAUCAAGCAGCAGUGACAAAACCAUAAAACUGUAUCCAGGGAUGUGGCAUGGCUUGACAUCGGGUGAGCCCGAUGAAAGCAUCGAGAUCGUUUUCACAGAUAUCACAGCUUGGCUUGACAAACAACUCUUAUAAACUUUAAGCAAUAAAGGGUUCGGAAAACUCACUAAUACGAGCAUUGAAACCUGGUUGCAGAACCCAAUGGAAUGGGUUCGUAGACAUCACUAACCCACUUAUCCUGAUAGUAACAUAUUAGCUACUGUCUCUGUAUAUUUUCUCUACAUUAAUAGAAUUAAAAGAUAUGAAAUUGCUUCAAUACUGCAAUGUUUGAGGAUCUGAUUAAUUUGUUUCAUUGAAAAUGAUUUGUUGUUGUUUUUAUUAGGAGGAGACAUUGAAGUUAAGAUAGAUUUAUGAUGUUUGCCUUUGUGUUUCACUGCCCAUGAAGUUGAUGGGUUCAAUAAAAAGACAUUUUGCCAACAAUUUUAAGUUGGUUGGGAA
Molecule: long non-coding RNA, 688 nt
Organism: Gossypium arboreum
Lineage: Eukaryota; Viridiplantae; Streptophyta; Magnoliopsida; Malvales; Malvaceae
Exons: 2
Source: RefSeq, a predicted model, not a curated record